This 738-nucleotide long non-coding RNA is filed under the name Lathyrus oleraceus (garden pea). RNAcentral describes it as "Pisum sativum (pea) long non-coding RNA (PSAT_LNC022130)". Lineage: Eukaryota; Viridiplantae; Streptophyta; Magnoliopsida; Fabales; Fabaceae. The record is from RNAcentral.
GAAAAUGAAAUUGUCUUAUUUUUUAGAUGAUAAGACCAUAUUCUUUUUUAUAUAUACAUGAAAUUAAGUGGUGUAAAUUGUUCUCAUUACUUUUUCUUAUCUUGACUAACCGCCCAUUCACAUGGAAACUUGAAAAAUCCAAAAACACAAAAAAGCAAUCUAGGAUCACUCAAAAUAUCAUUGUUGUGCUUCAUCUAAUAGUCUCACAACUUUUGUAUUAAAAAUAAAAAUGUGUUUCAUCUAAUAGUCUCACAAUUUUUGCAUUAAAAAUAAAAAUGGUACAUACAUCAAUAUAAAUUUGAAUCAUUUGAAGUUAACUCCUUUAAGACAUCUCAAUUUUUACACUAAAAUCAAACGGGUGAUAUUCUAAUUUUAUCAAACCAAAAUCAUAAUCUUCCAAUCUUAGUUUUGAUUAGAUGUACCGAAUAUUUGUAUGAUAUUUUGAUCGCAUUAAUGAUGGUGAGGAUCCGGUCCACUUGGACUAAGACGAUUGGUCGAAUACCGUGUUCCCAACAAUUGUUUCCUUCUCAUGAUCUCUUUCACCACUUUCUUAACACUCUCAACAAAUGCAUGACUUCCAUUACUACUUGAGAGAGAAGAAGAAGGUACAGAACGAGCAUCAUGGCAGAUCAAAAUGGAUGUGAAGAGAAGAACAAAGCAUAACAUUCUCCAACUUGCCAUAGGAAUUAACUAAUAGCUUUCAAGUAAUAUAGCAAAACCAACGAAAUUUGUGAGGAG